CACCGCGGUUAUACGAGAGGCCCAAGUUGACAAACCACGGCGUAAAGAGUGGUUAAGGAAACUUAAAACUAAAGUCGAACGCUCCCUAGAGCUGUUAUACGUGUACGAGAGUACGAAGCUCAACCACGAAAGUGACUUUAUAACCCCUGACUCCACGAAAGCUGAGAAA
Molecule: ribosomal RNA, 169 nt
Filed under: Lates japonicus
Lineage: Eukaryota; Metazoa; Chordata; Actinopteri; Centropomidae
Description: partial 12S rRNA
Source: RNAcentral